GUCGAGAAUCUUGGGCAAUGCGCGAAAGCGUGACCCAGCAAUGCCGCGUGUAUGAUGAAGGCCCUCGGGUCGUAAAGUACUGUCUCCCGUGACGAAAUUUGACGGUAGCGGGGAAGGAAGCCACGGCUAACUACGUGCCAGCAGCCGCGGUAAUACGUAGGUGGCGAGCGUUGUUCGGAUUUAUUGGGCGUAAAGGGUCUGUAGGAGGUUUGUUAAAUACGGGGUGAAAUCCCGAAGCUCAACUUCGGAAUUGCCUUGUAGACUGACGAACUGGAGUACCGGAGAGGUAAGCGGAAUACCAGGUGUAGCGGUGGAAUGCGUAGAUAUCUGGUAGAACACCAAAAGCGAAGGCAGCUUGCUGGACGGAAACUGACUCUGAAAGACGAAAGCAUGGGGAGCAAACAGGAUUAGAAACCCUGGUAGUCC
Molecule: ribosomal RNA, 426 nt
Filed under: uncultured bacterium
Lineage: Bacteria
Description: partial 16S ribosomal RNA
Rfam family: Bacterial small subunit ribosomal RNA
Source: RNAcentral